This 527-nucleotide ribosomal RNA is filed under the name uncultured bacterium. Its description in RNAcentral is "bacterial LSU rRNA". It matches the Rfam family "Bacterial large subunit ribosomal RNA", at positions 653 to 1179 of the family's 2925-position model. The record is from RNAcentral.
CGAAGAUCCGGAGCCGUAGCGAAAGCGAGUCCGAAUUGGGCAUUGAGUUGCGCUGAAUAGACCCGAAGCGAAGUGAUCUACCCAUGGCCAAGGCGAAUCCGCCGUAACAGGCGGAGGAGGCCUGAACUGAUGUUAGUUGCAAAUGGCUCGGAUGAGCUGUGGGUAGGGGUGAAAGGCUAAUCAAACUUCGUGAUUGCUGGUUCUCCCCGAAAUAACUAGAGGGUUAGCCUCGUUUCAGCCGUGACGGAGGUAGAGCACUGAAUGAGCUAGGGGCGUUCCAACGCUACCGAACUCAAUCAAACUCCGAAUGCCGUUACUGGACGAACGGGAGUUAGACUACGAGUGCUAAGAUCCGUGGUCAAAAGGGAAAUAGCCCAGACCGUCAGCUAAGGUCCCUAAUCGUGAGCUAAGUGGAAAAGGUUGUAAGAUCGCUCAGACAGCCAGGAGGUUGGCUUAGAAGCAGCCAUCCUUUAAAGAGUGCGUAAUAGCUCACUGGUCGAGCGAUUUUGCGCCGAAAAUGUAACGGG